GAGUAACACGUGGGUGAUCUGCCCUGCACUUCGGGAUAAGCCUGGGAAACUGGGUCUAAUACCGGAUAUGACCUCCUAUCGCAUGGUGGGUGGUGGAAAGAUUUAUCGGUGCAGGAUGGGCCCGCGGCCUAUCAGCUUGUUGGUGGGGUAAUGGCCUACCAAGGCGACGACGGGUAGCCGACCUGAGAGGGUGACCGGCCACACUGGGACUGAGACACGGCCCAGACUCCUACGGGAGGCAGCAGUGGGGAAUAUUGCACAAUGGGCGAAAGCCUGAUGCAGCGACGCCGCGUGAGGGAUGACGGCCUUCGGGUUGUAAACCUCUUUCAGCAGGGACGAAGCGCAAGUGACGGUACCUGCAGAAGAAGCACCGGCUAACUACGUGCCAGCAGCCGCGGUAAUACGUAGGGUGCAAGCGUUGUCCGGAAUUACUGGGCGUAAAGAGUUCGUAGG
This 453-nucleotide ribosomal RNA is filed under the name Rhodococcus qingshengii. RNAcentral's name for it is "bacterial SSU rRNA". It matches the Rfam family "Bacterial small subunit ribosomal RNA", at positions 108 to 575 of the family's 1533-position model. Lineage: Bacteria; Bacillati; Actinomycetota; Actinomycetes; Mycobacteriales; Nocardiaceae. The record is from RNAcentral.